This 72-nucleotide transfer RNA is filed under the name Candidatus Dormiibacterota bacterium. Its description in RNAcentral is "candidate division AD3 bacterium tRNA-Val". It matches the Rfam family "tRNA". Rfam says of the family: Transfer RNA (tRNA) molecules are approximately 80 nucleotides in length. RNAcentral also lists the same sequence under 2 other names. The record is from RNAcentral. Lineage: Bacteria; Bacillati; Candidatus Dormiibacterota.
GGGCGGCUAGCUCAGUGGGAGAGCGCUUGCUUCACACGCAAGAGGUCGCUGGUUCGAUACCAGCGCCGCCCA